UACAGGGGGUGCAAGCGUUGCUCGGAAUUACUGGGCGUAAAGCGUGCGCAGGCGGUCCUGCAAGUCGGGGGUGAAAACCCGGGGCUCAACCCCGGAAUUGCCUCCGAAACUGCAGAACUCGAGUACGAGAGAGGGUUGCGGAAUUCUUGGUGUAGAGGUGAAAUUCGUAGAUAUCAGGAAGAACACCAAUGGCGAAAGCGGCAACCUGGCUCGAUACUGACGCUCAUGCACGAAAGCGUGGGGAGCAAACAGG
RNAcentral lists this ribosomal RNA (253 nucleotides) under uncultured bacterium. RNAcentral's name for it is "partial 16S ribosomal RNA". It matches the Rfam family "Bacterial small subunit ribosomal RNA", at positions 524 to 776 of the family's 1533-position model. The record is from RNAcentral.